AUCCCUCUAGCACAAGAUCUCUUGUGAAACACAUGCGUGCAUAUAAUGUGAUUUGAUGGUGAUUUAUUAGUUUGAGUUUACAAAUUUCAUAAAUAUAAUGUGUACUAAUAUCCAUUGUUUAGUUUAUAGUUUGAGUCAAAAAAAUUGGCCAACUAAAGUCAUGGAUUGCCUGAAAGCUGAUUUGACAUUAUUUAAAAAAAAGAAAAACAAAGAAAAUUACACCUCUGCACCUCUCUCCCCCCUUUGUUCUUUCCCCACCCCACAACCUUCCCGCCGCAGCUGACACUCUUCGUGUUGCCGGAAAAUCGAUAGGGAUGUCAGAAUCAUGCUUGUGCACCAAAAGCAUUUCCUAUUUCAAAAUUAUUUGAAAAAUCCCUCAAUUUUGGUGCCUGCGAAACCAGCCACCCAUUGUUUCCAAGGAGCUAAGAGAUUUGAUAUCAAGAAGAGUGAUUUUAGAAAAGCAGAAUCUGAAUAUUGAGAGUAGUUUGUGCAAAAACCACCAAAGUUAAUGGACUAAUCAGUUUGAAGAACGGAUGACCUCAAUGCCUUAACAUUGGGUACCUCACUCUGUAAACCCUCAAAAUUCAUGAAGUCUCCAAAUUUUUAGAAAUUAAAUUAACCAAAUCCACAAAUUUCUUUGAAAAGUAUAAAUUUUAUUGUAUUUUAAUAGUGUCAAACCAACUUCCAGCAAUCCAAGUCAGUUUUAGUGGACAGAAAAUCUAACGGGGGCUAUAAAGUGAACAACAAAGAUAAAAUCAUUUUAUUUUUAAAAUUUGUACUAAAAAGUCACUAUAAUAUCAAAGUUGAAACUAUAAUUUAAGAAUGAUCCAUAUACAUAAAUAGCUCCAUACUGAAAAUAGUGGUUUUGAGUGGUGAUCAAUAUGCGACAAAUGAAGGGGCGCUCAAGAAACAUUACAUGCUGGAGCACACAGUCAAUAAAUUAGAAACGAAAAGUUUGUUACAAAAAAAUAAAAUGAAAGAAAUAAAAUGGUACGUAGCUCUCUCUCGCAAUGGAUAUGCCAAUCCAAAAAUGAAUUCAUUACGUAAGGAAGUAAAUUAAUUAGGUAGAUGUUGAGACAAAUGGAUAAUGCGUGACGACACUCAUAAAUAAUUCAAUUAAGAGAGAGAAAUGCAGAAACAAGCGUUUGCCCAGCAGUUAAGUUGCAACUGCUUUCUAUGGAUGGAAGAGUGUCUACUUAAAACGUUAGAAUAUAUCAUUGAACGUUGUCCUUGUUAAGAGUAGGAUGAUUUUAAUAUGAAUAUAUAUAUAUAUAUGUAUUUUAGUUUCAAGUAAAUGGUGGCAUGGCAUGCAUGUGUUUUGUGUGUGUAGAGGUGAUAAACAAAUUAAGGUUACGCGAAAGGAGACGAAGUGGUAAGGGGCGGCGGCGGCGGCGAUGGCGGUGGGAUGGUUGACAGAAUAAAGAGAGCACAUUUCCACAAAAAGCAAAGACCCUCAACUGUUUGCCAAUGGCGGCAUGUGCUCUCUCUCUUCUGUCAACAACUUUCCCUAUUUGUCAUCAUCAACGAUUCCCACCUACAUCGUUUCCAAAACAACCAAAUUAAUAAAUGCACAAGCAAGAUGCAGAUUAUCCAAUGGAGAAGAAGAAGAUCAUCAAUUAUCACAUCCAUCUUUCUCUCUAUAUAUAAUAUGGCCUCAUGCAUAAUCAAACAAGAAAAAACUUGCCUGAAAAAUAUCAACAACAUUUACAUGCCUGCAUGUGCCACGCUGAGAGAGAGAGAGAGAGAGAGAGAGAGAUGAAAGGAAGAUUCAUGUGGUGGUUGCAUUGCAAGUGCCAAAUUUAUAGAGGGAAGACCUAGCCAUUGAGGAGAUUCGCAUUCUUAUAUCAUAUAAUUAUAAUAUGAUAUAUACUUUUUCAUCAUACUCCAUUUUCUUCAAAACUAAUAUCCAAAUACCUAUAUAAAUAUCACACAUGUAGCAUUAAUUAUUUGUCAAAUCACAACCCUACCUAGCACAUUUAGGGUGGAAAUUUGCAUACUAAUAUUGUUAAAUUGGUUGACUUAUAAUAAAGAAAUACAUAUAGCUCUACAAGUAUUCAUCCCAUUAGAAUUGAUACUCA
RNAcentral lists this long non-coding RNA (2078 nucleotides) under Salvia miltiorrhiza (redroot sage). RNAcentral describes it as "long non-coding RNA (SMIL_LNC007570)". Lineage: Eukaryota; Viridiplantae; Streptophyta; Magnoliopsida; Lamiales; Lamiaceae. The record is from RNAcentral.